GUGCUCGCUUUGGCACCACAUAUACUAAAAUUGGAAUGAUACACAGAAGAUUCAUAUAACCCCUGUGCAAAAAAAUAGAUUCCUAAAAUCUAUAAUACACCUGAUUUU
RNAcentral lists this small nuclear RNA (108 nucleotides) under Piliocolobus tephrosceles (Ugandan red Colobus). The record is from RNAcentral. Lineage: Eukaryota; Metazoa; Chordata; Mammalia; Primates; Cercopithecidae.